CCAUCUCUGUAGCAAAAGAGUGGGAAGACCUUCAAGUAGAGGUGACAGACCUAACGAGCUUAGUGAUAGCUGGUUACUUGAGAAAAGGAUCUUAGUCCAACCCAACUUUUACAAAAUACACCUAAAUAAAAACUAAAAUUUGGAGUAAUUCAAAUAAGGUACAGCCUAUUUGAAUCAGGAUACAACCUUUAUAAAUGGGUAAUUAAACUUUUAUGUAAUAAAGUAGGCCUAAGAGCAGCCAUCUUCAAAAAGCGUCAAAGCUUAUUCACAAAUCAACUUAAUCCCCCUAAUUUUUAAAAACCCUUAAUCUCUAUUAAGUAACUCUAUAAAAUUAUAGAACCUAUUAUGUUAAAACUAGUAACAAGAAUAAGAACUUCUCUUUAAUGCAAGUGUAAAUCAGGCUGGACAAACCACUGAUUCUUAACACUUUGAAGCCAGAGUAACAACCUACCAAGAAAAUCUUACUUCACUUAAUGUUAACCUGACACAAGAGCAUUCUCAGACAGAUUGAAAGGAAUAGAAGGAACUCGGCAAAUAUUAACCUCGCCUGUUUACCAAAAACAUCGCCUCUUGAUAAUAUAUAAGAGGUCCAGCCUGCCCAGUGACUCUGUUCAACGGCCGCGGUAUCCUAACCGUGCGAAGGUAGCGUAAUCACUUGUUCUUUAAAUGAGGACUAGUAUGAAUGGCAUUACGAGGGUUAUACUGUCUCCUUUUCCUAAUCAGUGAAACUAAUCUCCCCGUGAAGAAGCGAGGAUGAACAUAUAAGACGAGAAGACCCUAUGGAGCUUUAAACUUCCAGCAAUUAUCUUUUUUAUACCAACCUCAAGGUAAUCAAAUUAACUUUAAUACU
RNAcentral lists this ribosomal RNA (850 nucleotides) under Pithecopus aff. hypochondrialis DPB-2013. RNAcentral's name for it is "Phyllomedusa aff. hypochondrialis DPB-2013 partial 16S ribosomal RNA". It matches the Rfam family "Bacterial large subunit ribosomal RNA", at positions 780 to 2249 of the family's 2925-position model. The record is from RNAcentral. Lineage: Eukaryota; Metazoa; Chordata; Amphibia; Anura; Hylidae.